RNAcentral lists this ribosomal RNA (245 nucleotides) under uncultured Bacteroidales bacterium. RNAcentral describes it as "partial 16S ribosomal RNA". It matches the Rfam family "Bacterial small subunit ribosomal RNA", at positions 524 to 768 of the family's 1533-position model. The record is from RNAcentral. Lineage: Bacteria; Pseudomonadati; Bacteroidota; Bacteroidia; Bacteroidales.
UACGGAGGAUGCGAGCGUUAUCCGGAUUUAUUGGGUUUAAAGGGUGCGCAGGCGGUCGAUUAAGUCAGCGGUGAAAUGUCCCGGCUCAACCGGGGAGCUGCCGUUGAUACUGGUUGGCUUGAGUGCGGACGGCGCCGGCGGAAUGAGUGGUGUAGCGGUGAAAUGCAUAGAUAUCACUCAGAACACCGAUCGCGAAGGCAGCUGGCGAGGCCGUCACUGACGCUGAGGCACGAAAGCGUGGGGAU